This 395-nucleotide unclassified non-coding RNA is filed under the name soil metagenome. Its description in RNAcentral is "partial contains 5.8S ribosomal RNA, internal transcribed spacer 2, and large subunit ribosomal RNA". The stretch from base 1 to 121 matches the Rfam family "5.8S ribosomal RNA", at positions 35 to 154 of the family's 154-position model. The record is from RNAcentral.
GAUGAAGAACGUAGCGAAAUGCGAUAAGUAAUGUGAAUUGCAGAAUUCAGUGAAUCAUCGAAUCUUUGAACGCACCUUGCGCCCUUUGGCUAUUCUGAAGGGCAUGCCUGUUUGAGUGUCAGUAAAUUCUCAAACCCUUCCAGCUUUUUGUAGUUGGCUCUGGGUCUUGGAUGUGGAGGUGUUGCAGGCCUUUUUGAGGUCAGCUCCCCUGAAAUGCAUUAGCAGAACCGUUUGCAAUCCAUCACAGGUGUGAUAAUUAUCUACGCCAGUGGGUUGCUCUCUGUCACUGUUCAGCUUACAAUUGUCCCAUUCUUGUGGACCAACUAUUGCUGAUUCUUUGACCUCAAAUCAGGUAGGACUACCCGCUGAACUUAAGCAUAUCAAUAAGCGGAGGA